Molecule: ribosomal RNA, 468 nt
Filed under: uncultured bacterium
Lineage: Bacteria
Description: partial 16S ribosomal RNA
Rfam family: Bacterial small subunit ribosomal RNA
Source: RNAcentral
GACGAACGCUGGCGGCGGGCUUAACACAUGCAAGUCGAACGGCAAGACCCUGCUUUUGUGGGGUGCUCGAGUGGCGAACGGGUGAGUAACACUUGAGUAACCUGCACUUGCCUUUCGGCUCACUUCAGGAAACUGGGGCUAAUACCGGUUAGGAGCUCCUUCUGCUUGGUGGGUGUUGGAUAGUUUCGGCGGUUGGGGAUGGACUCGCGGCUUAUCUGCUUGUUGGUGGGGGAGUGGCUUACCAAGGCGUUGACGGGUAGCCGGCCUGAGAGGGUGACCGGAGACACUGGGACUGAGAUACGGCCCAGACUCAGACGGGAGGCAGCAGUGGGGAAUAUUGCACUAUGGGCGGAAGGCAGAGGCAGCAAUGCCGCGUGCGGGAGUAGGGACUUCGGGUUGUAAACCGCUAUCGCCGGUGACGAAUCGGGAGUGACGGUAAUGGGUAAAGAAGCACCGGCUAACUACGUG